This 473-nucleotide ribosomal RNA is filed under the name Salmonella enterica. RNAcentral describes it as "bacterial SSU rRNA". It matches the Rfam family "Bacterial small subunit ribosomal RNA", at positions 1062 to 1533 of the family's 1533-position model. The record is from RNAcentral. Lineage: Bacteria; Pseudomonadati; Pseudomonadota; Gammaproteobacteria; Enterobacterales; Enterobacteriaceae.
GUGUCGUGAGAUGUUGGGUUAAGUCCCGUAACGAGCGCAACCCUUGUCCUUAGUUACCAGCACGUUAUGGUGGGCACUCUAAGGAGACUGCCGGUGACAAACCGGAGGAAGGUGGGGAUGACGUCAAGUCAUCAUGGCCCUUACGGCCUGGGCUACACACGUGCUACAAUGGUCGGUACAGAGGGUUGCCAAGCCGCGAGGUGGAGCUAAUCUCACAAAACCGAUCGUAGUCCGGAUCGCAGUCUGCAACUCGACUGCGUGAAGUCGGAAUCGCUAGUAAUCGCGAAUCAGAAUGUCGCGGUGAAUACGUUCCCGGGCCUUGUACACACCGCCCGUCACACCAUGGGAGUGGGUUGCACCAGAAGUAGCUAGUCUAACCUUCGGGAGGACGGUUACCACGGUGUGAUUCAUGACUGGGGUGAAGUCGUAACAAGGUAGCCGUAGGGGAACCUGCGGCUGGAUCACCUCCUUAA